GUGUGAGGUUGUGUGAGUAAUAAACCAGAAAAUUCCCAACUCCUAGUGUCAUCCUCUCUCGAUGAGAGUAACGUUCAGAUUCUUACACGGACAGGAAUACUGUGUCAAGAACAAAGAUCGAGUUGAAGUUGUCGCAAUGCUUGGACUCUUUGGAUCGCUAGUCAGUGUAGUUCAGAUGUAUACUCUUCAUAAUUCAUUCCUGGCUACAGACUGGUAAAUCAAACUGGUAUAUGAUCCAUUGCUAUGCUAUCUAUGAAUUUGCUCGCUUUGACACAGUUAAAAUAUAACCAAAAUGUUGUGAAACAAACCUACUAAUUUUUAAAAUAUAUUUAUGUUACCUUUAACCUGAUAAACCUUAGAUUUCUAUUUGAAAGGAAGAGCCUAGAAGCCAUUACUUGGUCAUCAACGAGGUAAGAAAGUACUCCUUAUAAUGGCAGCUCUUCUAUCUGCUAUAUACCUUCUUUUUUGUUUUGACAGGAGUUCCGUCAUACACCUUAUUAACUAACUGGAAACUCACUCCCAACUUUUCUUUUCUUUUGUUUUAUUUCCAGAUAAGUCUAUUUGCAGGGGCAAAUUUUACUUUCUGCUCCGUUACACCUUUUGUUAUUAAAGUUAAGUAUCUCAAACAUGUUAGGGAUGUUUUUUUUAAAAAAAUUGAGAGAACGAUGUUUUAAAUUAUGUCCUGUCAAGUGAUUGAAUUAUUUGAACAAAUAAAUAAUAAAGAAAAGAUGUUUCAAUAGUAUUGGCUACAAUAGAGUAUCAGCUAAAAGGACUCUCUUUUUGUUGUUUCACAGAAGUACAGUACAACAAUAACCAACAUUGUUCAACCUUUCCCUCUUAACAUCUGACAUGUGGGCAGUUGCUAUUCAAAUUUUAUUCUACCAUCAGCAAAUGAAAAUGUCUGAACCCAGAUACUUGUGCCAGAUUAUGACAUAUUACCCAAUAAGCUUAUGUACCUUAGGUGCAACCUACAGAUAAAUUGGCUGUACUACAUAGCAUUCACAGAUGUGAACAUUGGAUUGAUCAUCUACUCAAUGAAGUAAGUUUGUUCAAACCUUCCUAGAUCAUUUUGUAAAUCAUCUACUCAGGCUUGCAGAAACCUAACAGAAUUACUUGGAUGUAAUCUAUGAAAUGAGAGUUCUUCAUAUGUCAAACAAGCGAGUAUAGAAGCAGCAGCACAGGAUUAGCAACUUCAAGAUGAGGAUAAUUUAACAGAAAGUGGUUCUAAUUCAGGAAGACAAGAAAGGACACAUAAUGAUGAAAUUGAUAUCUGUUAAGGGAUCAAUGACAUCUCCUUGAUAACAGAUAUUUUCAUCCCAAAUCAAUAUGGCAACAUAAAUCAGCAGAGUAUAAUGCUGCUCGGUUCAUGUAUAGGCAAAACUGUUAAUAUCUCAAGCAACCAAGGCAAUUUGGAUGCAGAAGUAAAUUGAUUUUUAUAUUAUUGUUCCUUAUACUCAACGUUUUGUUCCUGUACCAUUAUUGUCUCGCAAAAUAUUUCCUCGAUUAAUUUACAAUAUGCAUUACAUACCAAAGCUUCUCGCAAUGCAAGGGUAGAGUGAUGAACUCUGGGGGCCAACGAAACUGCUGUAACUGGCCCGGGUUCAG
Molecule: long non-coding RNA, 1605 nt
Organism: Panicum virgatum (switchgrass)
Lineage: Eukaryota; Viridiplantae; Streptophyta; Magnoliopsida; Poales; Poaceae
Exons: 2
Source: RefSeq, a predicted model, not a curated record